AGGACGAACGCUGGCGGCGCGCUUAACACAUGCAAGUCGAGCGAGAACCAGGGCUUCGGCUCUGGGGACAGCGGCGAACGGGUGAGUAACACGUGGGUAAUCAACCCUCGACAUCGGGAUAGCCCGGGGAAACCCGGAUUAAUACCGAAUGCUCCGUCUGGCCUUCGGGCCGGCCGGAAAAGGUAGCUUCGGCCUCCGGUCGGGGACGAGCCCGCGGCGGAUUAGCUUGUUGGUGGGGUAAAGGCCCACCAAGGCGACGAUCCGUAGCUGGUCUGAGAGGACGAUCAGCCACACUGGGACUGAGACACGGCCCAGACUCCUACGGGAGGCAGCAGUGGGGAAUCUUGCGCAAUGGGCGAAAGCCUGACGCAGCGACGCCGCGUGAGGGAAGAAGGCCUUCGGGUUGUAAACCUCUUUCAGGAGGGACGAAGCCACUCGGGUUAAUAGCCCAGAGGGUGACGGUACCUCCAGAAGAACGCCCCGGCUAACUACGUGCCAGCAGCCGCGGUAA
Molecule: ribosomal RNA, 511 nt
Filed under: uncultured bacterium
Lineage: Bacteria
Description: SSU rRNA
Rfam family: Bacterial small subunit ribosomal RNA
Source: RNAcentral